Molecule: ribosomal RNA, 368 nt
Filed under: uncultured organism
Description: bacterial SSU rRNA
Rfam family: Bacterial small subunit ribosomal RNA
Source: RNAcentral
CGUAGGUGGCAAGCGUUGUCCGGAUUUAUUGGGUUUAAAGGGUGCGUAGGCGGUCUUGUAAGUCAGUGGUGAAAUACGGCAGCUUAACUGUCGGGGUGCCAUUGAUACUGCAGGACUUGAGUACAGACGGGGUAGGCGGAAUUGACGGUGUAGCGGUGAAAUGCUUUGAUAUCGUCAAGAACACCGAUAGCGAAGGCAGCUUACUAGACUGUAACUGACGCUGAUGCACGAAAGUGUGGGGAUCAAACAGGAUUAGAUACCCUGGUAGUCCACACUGUAAACGAUGAUUACUCGAUGUUGGCGAUACACAGCCAGCGUCUUAGCGAAAGCGAUAAGUAAUCCACCUGGGGAGUACGCCGGCAACGGUG